RNAcentral lists this long non-coding RNA (2179 nucleotides) under Homo sapiens (human). RNAcentral's name for it is "HSALNT0357127". The stretch from base 218 to 522 matches the Rfam family "Metazoan signal recognition particle RNA". The record is from RNAcentral. Lineage: Eukaryota; Metazoa; Chordata; Mammalia; Primates; Hominidae.
AGUACAGAGAGACCCCCCACCGAAGCCACCAGCACCAUCUCUCCUCAGAGGGGAGUUCAGCCAACUGGAUGUUUUGAGUCUAUGAGUUUACUCUUUGAGAUUUCCUGACACCACAGUUUCCAAUGUUCCUUCCAGACACAGACAAUCCUCUCCUCCCAAGAAACUCAGGUGUGGCUAGGCAUGGUGGUGCACACCUGUAGUCCCAGCUACUUGGAAGGCUGAGGUGUGGUGGUACACAUGUGUAGUCCCAGCUACUCCGGAGACUGAGGCCAGAGGAUCGCUUGAGCCCAGCCAGGAGUUUUGGGCUGCAGUGCGCUGUGCUGAUUGGGUGUCCACACUAAGUUCAUCACCAAUAUGGUGAACUCCCUGGAGCCGAGGACCAACAGGUUGGCUAGGGAGGGAUGAAUUGGCCCAGGUUGGAAAUGGAGCAGGUCAAAAUUUCCAUGCUGAUUAGUAGUGGGAUGGUGCCUGCGAAUAGCCACUGCACUCUGGCCUGGCCAACAUAGCAAGACCCUGUCUCUAAAAAAAUAAGUAAAUACAAGAAACUGGUGUAAACUGUUCUCUUCACUCUGUUACAUGUAAAUGUAAGGAAAGAGAAUGGAAAAACUAUUUUAACAUGGAUUAUCUCAAAGUGGUGAAAUUGUGAGAGUUUUUUACUUUCUUCCUUUUGUUCAUCUGUAUCGUCUAAAUGUUCUAUAAGAUGAAUAUCUGUUUAAUACAUUUUAUCUUUCUUAAAAGAUUGUGUUGAUGACUAAAAAGUUAACAUGUGUAACAAUGCCAGCAAAGCUGAAUUUUUACUUAAAAGUUACAGCCGGGCCAGGCAAGAUGGGUCAUGCCUGUAAUCCCAGCACUUUGGGAGGCUUUAGUGGGUGGAUCACCUGAGGUCAGGAGUUGGAGACUAGCCUGGCCAACAUGGCAAAACCCAUCUCUACUAAAAAUUCAAAAAUUAGCUGGGUACGGUGGCAGGUGCCUGUAAUCCCAGCUACUUGGGAGGCUGAGGCAGGAGAAUCACGUGAACCCGGGAGGCGGAGGUUGCAGUGAGCCAAGAUUGCGCCAUUGCACUCCAGCCCGGGUAACAACAGUGAGACCCUGUCUCAAAAGAAAAAUUACAGCUGGGUGUGGUGACUCAUACCUGUAAUCCCAGCACUUCAGGAGGCAGAGGCAGGAGGAUCACUUGAGCUCAAGAGUUCAAGACCAGCCUAGGCAACAAAGUGAGAACCCCCUCCCGUCUCUACAAAAAUAAUAAUAAUAAUAACAAUAAUAAAUAAAACUGAAAAAAUAAAAAUAUAUAUUUUAUGGAGAAAGGUGUACACAUGUUAUCUAAAAGUGAAGAAGCAUAAAAAGUUUCAUAUUCAUUUUGUUUCUCUCUGUCUGUUCAAUUCUUAUAGCUUCAUUGUUUAAUUUCCUCACAUCUUUUUUGGGAGAAUGUUAUUUAACAAGGAUUCUGGUAACUGUAGCGGAACUGGCAAAGGGGCGGUUUGUAAUCAGCACAUUGCUUGUAUAAUCCACGGGGUUGUAACCAUUCAGGAAGGAACUUCCUGUCCUUUAUUUAAUUAAAGCAACUUUUCUUGAAAAACAAAACAAAACCUCUUUUCUAACUAGCAUUUACAUGAAGAGUUGCCUACGUUAAAAGACACAGCAACCUGUGAAGAGAAAUAUUUAAGCUAAUGUGUUCCAUCGUGCUGGUGAGCACUUUCAAAGGAGUGCAUGAAAGAUAUCACAGCCUCACAAAUGCAGAGAAAAGCCUCCCUUGGCCACUGCUGAUCAGGAAGUGAGACUUUGUCCUCCCCACAGUGCUAUACCUAGCCGGCUGGAUUAUCUUCCUCAUGGCCAAAAGGAGACUAGACAUGGAAGGCAAAUUGCAGUUAGAUGAAUUUAACCAGCUUUCUCUACACCGCAUGAAGCCAGCGACUGUGAGGGCUCUGCUACGCGGCUGAGCGGGCUGUGCAGGCAUUGCCAAGGUCUCCUCCCUUGUUGACGUUCCCUGCUCGUCUUCACGUGAUCCCAUCUCAGGGCUCUGCCGUCCACGCCCUCACCAAGCUGGAUCCUGGAAGUCAUGCAAUUCCUUCUUCCUUACUUCUGUAAACCAAAAAGUGUCUGAGACAGAUCUCAGUCAACUUAGAGGUUUAUUUUGCUGAGGUUGAGGAAACACUCAGGAAAAAAGAAACACGAGUUACAA